Molecule: ribosomal RNA, 253 nt
Filed under: uncultured bacterium
Lineage: Bacteria
Description: partial 16S ribosomal RNA
Rfam family: Bacterial small subunit ribosomal RNA
Source: RNAcentral
UACGUAGGGACCAAGCGUUGUUCGGAUUUACUGGGCGUAAAGGGCGCGUAGGCGGCUUGUCAAGUCACUUGUGAAAUCUCUGGGCUUAACCCAGAACGGCCAAGUGAAACUGACAUGCUAGAGUGUGGAAGGGGCAAUCGGAAUUCUUGGUGUAGCGGUGAAAUGCGUAGAUAUCAAGAGGAACACCUGAGGUGAAGACGGGUUGCUGGGCCAACACUGACGCUGAGGCGCGAAAGCCAGGGGAGCAAACAGG